UGAAAUGGAAAAGGACAAAAC
Molecule: non-coding RNA, 21 nt
Filed under: Rattus norvegicus (Norway rat)
Lineage: Eukaryota; Metazoa; Chordata; Mammalia; Rodentia; Muridae
Source: RNAcentral